GGCAGGGUAAUGGCCUACCAAGGCGACGACGGGUAGGGGGCCUGAGAGGGUGACCCCCCACAUUGGCACUGACACACGGGCCAAACUCCUACGGGAGGCAGCAGUGAGGAAUAUUGCACAAUGGGCGAAAGCCUGAUGCAGCAACGCCGCGUGAGCGAUGAAGGCCUUCGGGUCGUAAAGCUCUUUUGAGAGGGACGAGAACGGACGGUACCUCUUGAAUAAGUCACGGCUAACUACGUGCCAGCAGCCGCGGUAAAACGUAGGUGGCGAGCGUUAUCCGGAUUCACUGGGCGUAAAGCGAGUGCAGGUGGCCCUGUAAGUUGGAUGUGAAAUUUCCUGGCUUAACUGGGAAAGGUCAUUCAAUACUGCAGGGCUUGAGGGUAGAAGAGGGGGGUGGAAUUGCCGGUGUAGUGGUGAAAUGCGUAGAUAUCGGCAGGAACACCAGUGGCGAAAGCGGCCCCCUGGUUUACUCCUGACACUCAGACUCGAAAGCUAGGGUAGCGAACGGGAUUAGAAACCCCGGUAGUCCUAGCCGUAAACGAUGGAUGCUAGGUGUAGGUGGUAUUGACCCCAUCUGUGCCGAAGCUAACGCGUUAAGCAUCCCGCCUGGGGACUACGGCCGCAAGGUUAAAACUCAAAGGAAUUGACGGGGACCCGCACAAGCAGCGGAGCGUGUGGUUUAAUUCGAUCUACACGAAGAACCUUACCCAGGUUUGACAUACAGGUAGUAGUGAAGCGAAAGCGGAACGACUCGCAAGAGAGCCUGCACAGGUGCUGCAUGGCUGUCGUCAGCUCGUGCCGAGAGGUGUUUGGUUAAGUCCACUAACGAGCGCAACCCUUGUCGUCAGUUACAUGUGUCUGACGAGACUGCCGGCCUUAAGCCGGAGGAAGGUGGGGAUGAUGUCAAGUCAGCAUGGCCUUUAUAUCUGGGGCUACACACACGCUACAAUGGCCGGUACAAUGGGUUGCCAACCCGCGAGGGGGAGCUAAUCCUCUAAAGCCGGUCUCAGUUCGGAUUGUAGGCUGCAACUCGCCUGCAUGAAGCCGGAGUUGCUAGUAAACGCGCGUCAGCUAUAGUGCGUUGAAUACGUUCCCGGGUCUUGUACACACCGCCCGUCACGUCAUGGGAGCUGGUAACACCUGAAGCCGGUACGCUAACGGCAAGGAAGCAGCCGUCGAGGGUGGGACUGGUGACUGGGAC
RNAcentral lists this ribosomal RNA (1201 nucleotides) under metagenome. RNAcentral describes it as "bacterial SSU rRNA". It matches the Rfam family "Bacterial small subunit ribosomal RNA", at positions 251 to 1481 of the family's 1533-position model. The record is from RNAcentral.